UGAAAACACAUGAAGGUGCAA
RNAcentral lists this non-coding RNA (21 nucleotides) under Arabidopsis thaliana (thale cress). Lineage: Eukaryota; Viridiplantae; Streptophyta; Magnoliopsida; Brassicales; Brassicaceae. The record is from RNAcentral.